UACGUAGGGGGCAAGCGUUGUCCGGAUUUAUUGGGCGUAAAGAGCGUGUAGGCGGCCAGAUAGGUCCGUUGUGAAAACUGGAGGCUUAACCUCCAGCUGUCGAUGGAAACCAUCUGGCUAGAGUCCGGAAGAGGAGAGUGGAAUUCCUGGUGUAGCGGUGAAAUGCGCAGAUAUCAGGAAGAACACCCGUGGCGAAGGCGGUUCUCUGGGCCUUACCUGACGCUGAGGAGCGAAAGCGUGGGGAGCGAACAGG
Molecule: ribosomal RNA, 253 nt
Filed under: uncultured bacterium
Lineage: Bacteria
Description: partial 16S ribosomal RNA
Rfam family: Bacterial small subunit ribosomal RNA
Source: RNAcentral